AAAGAGCACCAUGAAAAACAACACACCAAGGAAGCUAAUACUAGCAACCUUCUUAGUUUUCACCUCGCUUUCUUUUUCUCCACUUUCUUGCUACUUUUUGGCGCGGGUGUUGCUGCCUGAGGUUUCGAUUUCGAAAUCAAAAUCGAUUCUUCCUCAACUUUAUUACCAUUAUCACUUAACGAAAAAGUAGUCGACUUUUGGAUUUUACUUGCAUUAUUCGAAU
RNAcentral lists this long non-coding RNA (223 nucleotides) under Capsicum annuum. RNAcentral describes it as "long non-coding RNA (CANN_LNC015189)". Lineage: Eukaryota; Viridiplantae; Streptophyta; Magnoliopsida; Solanales; Solanaceae. The record is from RNAcentral.